Long non-coding RNA from Aethalodelphis obliquidens (Pacific white-sided dolphin), 332 nucleotides. RefSeq lists it as uncharacterized. The record is from RefSeq and is a predicted model, not a curated record. Lineage: Eukaryota; Metazoa; Chordata; Mammalia; Artiodactyla; Delphinidae. The transcript is spliced from 3 exons.
GGGCAACAGUUAUCACACUGCUGAAGUUUUCUUCAAAGGUGGGAUCUGAAAGCAAGUCUGUAGAAAUCUCAGGCUUUAGAGCAUUCUUGAAGUUCAUGAUAUAAUCUAAAAGAUUGGAGUACUAAGGAACAAACUGGUCUAAGGCCUACCAGGCGGUUAAGAGCACAUUUGACACUGGGACCCAGAUUAUUUUUGGUGUCCUCAGUAGAUGGAUUGGUCUGAAAGUAACUGGUCUGCCACCAUCAGAAACGUAAGUCUGCCAAAGACUAACGAAGUAAAGCUGUACAGGGAUUGCAUAACUACAAACAAACCUGGAAUUCAAGAAAAUUUCA